Molecule: long non-coding RNA, 939 nt
Filed under: Eutrema salsugineum
Lineage: Eukaryota; Viridiplantae; Streptophyta; Magnoliopsida; Brassicales; Brassicaceae
Description: long non-coding RNA (ESAL_LNC001209)
Source: RNAcentral
CCCACUUCUCUUCCAUGUCGAUGACCAAUUAGACCACGAUCAUCUAAUUUAUAACUAAUCACCCAACACGAUGACACUCGUCUUUGUUCCGCCUGUCAUAAUCUUGAUUCAAACCUCUUCUUCUGCUUCACGAACACAUAUCCUUUCUCAUAUGCUUCGGUUAUUCUCCUCAUAGCCAUAAAUCCAUGAUCUACCCGAAACAAGACUAGAUCUCUGUUCCUGAUACCAAUUGUAAGUUUGGAUUUAGGCUAGAUCUAUAUGUUUGACGAUGGGUAAACAUAACGAGAUGAGAAGGAGUGUAAAGUAAAGAAGAUACAGAGAUUUGUUAACGGGGUUCAGCGAACCUAUAUCCCGGGGAUCUUGUCCAGAAACAAUCCACUAGAAAAUAUCGCAAAUUACAAUUGCUAUAUGGAAUCAACACACACCUAUGUCUAGCACUCUUUUCUACAAGAAGUAUGAAAACAAUAACAACCACAGCAUGCUUGACUACAACCAGCAGCACUGGUGUACCUACGUCUCUUCUGACAAGUGUGAUUUCCAUAGUAAAACCACCAACAGAUCUCUCCAUAUGUCUGGUGAGAUGAUACCAUACACACAUUGUGUACAUCACAGAAUAAAAUCAUAGGCGCGUGAGUUUUUACUGUCACCGCCUUAUCCUAUUUAAGCUCUUCAUAAGCAAACCUUAAUCUCCUCGAGCCCACACUUCACUUCACAAGAAGUUGGCCUUCUCUUUGCCGGCCCAUGUGACUUCUUUUAUGAUCUUGACGCUCACAUAAUAUUUUUCUUCAUACAUGAAUCUUCUCAAUAAAAUUUCAUGCAACAUCAUCACGUCUAUUUUCAUUCCUCUCUCUAGUAACUCUUUAACAACAUAGCUCUUGUAGCACACAAAUUCUUUGUAUAACACAUAAACAACUUUGUUUCUUCAGAAGAUGGUUUUUG